Molecule: non-coding RNA, 24 nt
Filed under: Rattus norvegicus (Norway rat)
Lineage: Eukaryota; Metazoa; Chordata; Mammalia; Rodentia; Muridae
Source: RNAcentral
UAGGAAGCCACAGUCUACACUAAC